CUCCCUAAGUACUCUUAAUGGGAACAAAUGGUUUAUCUUUUCAGAUCUGUAGAUAUUACUGCAGAAAUAUCCCUCUGGGAAAAGGCUGCAUAAGUUCUGGCCACCGUGUAAAUCUCACACUGAAGACUCACUUGGGAAGAAGAAAAGACAAAAAAUGUUGUGCUGGCUCUCUAAGUGAAGACAUUCUUCCAGUUCUCUGCUGAUGUAGUAUCCUCAGCUUUCAUUAUUAAAGACCCAUUAUGGGCUUUGGCUCCUACAGGUAAAUAUGCAGUAUCAUCCACUUUAUGUCAACUUUUCCCAAGUACCACAAAAGCUGCUAAAGAAAUUAAUCACCUUUUGAUUUCCAUGGGACAGUGGAAAACCUGUGAGAGAGAACUUAGGUAAUGAUAUCUGUUAUUAUCACCCUUCUGAAACUCACCACUGCUGAGUGAAAAUGAGCUUUGUGAAGGUAAUCAAU
Molecule: long non-coding RNA, 457 nt
Filed under: Taeniopygia guttata (zebra finch)
Lineage: Eukaryota; Metazoa; Chordata; Aves; Passeriformes; Estrildidae
Description: lncRNA (ENSTGUG00000019690.1)
Source: RNAcentral